Molecule: ribosomal RNA, 399 nt
Filed under: uncultured bacterium
Lineage: Bacteria
Description: bacterial SSU rRNA
Rfam family: Bacterial small subunit ribosomal RNA
Source: RNAcentral
CUGGGCUUGAACUGUAGAUGACAUCCGGCGAAAGUCGGCUCCCGCAAGGGCAUCUGCAGAGGUGCUGCAUGGCUGUCGUCAGCUCGUGUCGUGAGAUGUUGGGUUAAGUCCCGCAACGAGCGCAACCCUCGUCCUCUGUUGCCAUCAGGUCAAGCUGGGCACUCUGAGGAGACUGCCGGUGAUAAACCGGAGGAAGGUGGGGAUGACGUCAAGUCAGCAUGGCCUUUAUGUCCAGGGCUACACACGUGCUACAAUGGCCGGUACAAAGCGUCGCAAACUCGCGAGAGUGAGCCAAUCGCAGAAAGCCGGUCUCAGUUCGGAUUGUAGGCUGCAACUCGCCUGCAUGAAGUUGGAAUCGCUAGUAAUCGCGGAUCAGCAUGCCGCGGUGAAUACGUUCCC